AGACGCAAGUCGAAAUCGGUGAUCCUAUGCUGCCAAGAAAAGCAUCGACGCGAGGUUCUAGCUGCCCGUACCCCAAACCGACUCAGGUGGUCAGGUAGAGAAUACUAAGGAGAUCGAGAGAAUCGUGGUUAAGGAACUCGGCAAAAUGCCCCCGUAACUUCGGGAGAAGGGGGGCCUGAGGCGUGAACGGACUUGCUCCGGGAGCGUUCGAUGGCCGCAGAGACCAGUGGGAAGCGACUGUUUACUAAAAACACAGGUCCGUGCUAAGUCGCAAGACGAUGUAUACGGACUGACGCCUGCCCGGUGCUGGAAGGUUAAGAGGAACGGUUAGCCGCAAGGCGAAGCUGAGAAUUUAAGCCCCAGUAAACGGCGGUGGUAACUAUAACCAUCCUAAGGUAGCGAAAUUCCUUGUCGGGUAAGUUCCGACCUGCACGAAUGGCGUAACGACUUCCCAGCUGUCUCAACCGCGAACUCGGCGAAAUUGCAUUACGAGUAAAGAUGCUCGUUACGCGCAGCAGGACGGAAAGACCCCGUGACCUUUACUAUAGUUUGGUAUUGGUGUUCGGUGUGGCUUGUGUAGGAUAGGUGGGAGACGUUGAAGCGGGCACGCUAGUGUUCGUGGAGUCAUUGUUGAAAUACCACUCUGGUCACUCUGGAUAUCUAACUUCGGACCCUAAUCGGGUUCAGGGACAGUGCCUGAUGGGUAGUUUAACUGGGGCGGUUGCCUCCCAAAGAGUAACGGAGGCGCCCAAAGGUUCCCUCAACCUGGUUGGCAAUCAGGUGGCGAGUGUAAGUGCACAAGGGAGCUUGACUGUGAGACUGACAAGUCGAGCAGGGACGAAAGUCGGGACUAGUGAUCCGGCAGUGGCUUGUGGAAGCGCUGUCGCUCAACGGAUAAAAGGUACCUCGGGGAUAACAGGCUGAUCUUGCCCAAGAGUCCAUAUCGACGGCAUGGUUUGGCACCUCGAUGUCGGCUCGUCGCAUCCUGGGGCUGGAGUAGGUCCCAAGGGUUGGGCUGUUCGCCCAUUAAAGCGGUACGCGAGCUGGGUUUAGAACGUCGUGAGACAGUUCGGUCCCUAUCCGCUGCGCGCG
Molecule: ribosomal RNA, 1092 nt
Filed under: Rathayibacter sp. AY2B5
Lineage: Bacteria; Bacillati; Actinomycetota; Actinomycetes; Micrococcales; Microbacteriaceae
Description: bacterial LSU rRNA
Rfam family: Bacterial large subunit ribosomal RNA
Source: RNAcentral